Long non-coding RNA from Helianthus annuus (common sunflower), 3327 nucleotides. RefSeq lists it as uncharacterized. The record is from RefSeq and is a predicted model, not a curated record. The transcript is spliced from 10 exons. Lineage: Eukaryota; Viridiplantae; Streptophyta; Magnoliopsida; Asterales; Asteraceae.
CAAAACUCCAGAUCCUCUCUCUCUCUCUCUCGCUCUACGACUCAAGAACAUCAUGCCAGAUCUCUCAUCAGAUGCCGUUUCAUGACAAGAUCGUUGAAGUGGUUCCGACACCUGAGCUCUGGUGGAGGAGACUAGGGUUUCGGCGAAGAUAAAGCCAUCGAGGCUGAACCACCGGUGCAGGGUUUCUUUACCAGUCGCUUCAAGAUAUACGCUUCCUCAGCGAUGAAUCUCUCUAGAUCCAACACGAGAUCGACUGAUCUGCCGUUGAGUUGUUCGUGUUAGGGUGCACCGGAAUAACCAGAUGUGUAUCAUCUGGAAUGAACAAGCUGGAUAACCAGUCGAUCUCUACAAAAUUUCAGUAAGGUAUUGUUCGAGCCCUAGCUUUUUUAUUGAGUGAACUCUGUUUAUGAAGCUGUGAUUGACUGAUUUCAUGUUGUUUCAACAUCGGAUGUGUUGUUGUAGCUGAUGAAAGGAUGACUAGAUGAAUAAUAACUGUUUUGUUUGGUUAAUUUGAUUGUUUUGAAUUGGAUGUGUUGCUAUAGUUGAUAAAAGAAGAAUUAAGUGAAUAGUAAGACCGUGUGUAGUGGGGCGUGAUUUAUAAAAUUUUUUCAAAAAAAAAAAAACGCCCUAUAACGCCCCGGUAACCACUACACCCGACGUUACCGGGCGUUAUUACCACUACACGUGGUCUAACUGUUUUGUUAGGGUUUACGUUGUUUACUUUUGUAGUCGUCAAUUUGUUUGCCAAUAUUAUCAUUAUGAGACCAUUUUCUCCAAUUAGCAUAAAUUAGUAUUAUAUAUACGUGAAAUGUAAUUUGUUUCUUAGCUUAAGAUAAAAAUAGACUUAAGUUUUAUUUUACUUCCAUUCAGUUGCUUGAAGUAUUCUAAACAUUAAACCAUAUUAAGUAUAUUUCUUUUCCUGUGAAUGUUUAAUAUUUUCCUAACUUGAUUUGGUGAAUGUAAUGUUUUUCAAUUUCUAUUCAGUUGUGGUAUACAUAUACUGACUUUGGCAUUGUUAUUUUUUUACUUUAAACAAAAUGUUGAAAAUAGUUUUUUAACCCUUGAAGUAUCUCAUGAAUCUUUUCGAACCUGCAACUCUGUUUCUAAUUAAUUUUUCCGGGAUGUGCAUAACUUGAGAAAAUCGCGGGGUCCACCAAGGAGACUAUGAAACUACGCUCACUGACUCUAUAUCGCGAGGACUCCGAAGCAAACGGUGUGUCUAGCUGAUAUUUAACAGUGUCGUAAAGUGGGAUAGCACGAAAAUAAAAAAAGGUAUUUGUUGCAUCCAACAUUUGCACACGGAAGUACUCUGGUCUUAUACGAGGUCCUGACCGGAAAGCGUUACAUUUGUGACAUUAUUGCUGAUUCUGUGGUUCUUGGUUUCUUCAUUGAAGCCGAAAAGAUACUCUCAGUGCUCGGAAUCGAUGAUGCAGUUGAUGACUUUUUGUGGCAGGAAAGCUCAAUCAUACUCUCGAAACUCUUGGUCCCGCAGUCCCGCAAAUCUUUGAGAAAACGGCGAUGCAUGACCUACGGACUCUUGUGGCAGAAAGAUCAACUAUGAACACAUAUAUAAGCGGAGAGAGUUUUGAGAUAUGAUCGGUCUGUUAUUAGAAGGAUUCAUUAAAACGCAGGGUACGUUAGAACUUAUUACUGCACCAGCUGCACUAUUCCCGUCAUACGGCAACCGCAGUUUCCGAGUGUCAGAAAUAGUAGCAGCCGGAAGCUUUUGUCACCAUGCAACCUCGUACGUAGUUGAGACAAGGUCAUGGGUGAUGAUGUUUGAGAUUAGUGGAUUUGAAGGAACAGGAACCCUUCAGAGCAGGGUGUCUUCGUUAAUAUCACAUGGCGGGGCGGGGGAAAACCCGUCCUCGGCCCGGGAACAUAGCGGUCUAAUGAGUUGGCAACAGGGCUCUUUUAAGAGAGAGUUUCUCUCAUCUCCAUACCGAUGUUCAAGGAAUUGAAACAAAGACAUUAUCAAUUAUGGUUUUUCAAUUUGUUUUUUGCAAGAAAUAUUAAAACCGUUCUGAUUCCUUGAAUGCAGGGUUGCACUUAGGGUUUUUCAAUGCUUUUGUCUUGCAGAUUUAGAUUUCAUCUCAUCAGAUGUGGGUUCCUCUGAUGUUAUCCUUUUUUUUGUGGGAGAAAGAGGGAGCUGGAGAGAAGAAUGGGCAGAGGAGUGAGAGAAUGGAAGAUGGGAGCCGGCCAAGAUGCCGAUGGUGGAUGGUAUUAGUGUCGGAAGAUGGAUGGGUCGGUAACCAUCGUAAACCCCGACGGCGGCGCUAGAGGUUCCGAUAACCACAGACUUCCGGCGAACACAAUGGUGAAGACAGAGAGACGCUAACUUUUUAGAUCCUUCGGCGGCUGCAGGUAAGUCUCGCGGUGACUACACCAACGAACGAAGGUACCGGAUCUUGUGGAUCUGGUGUUGACGGCGUCUCGGGUUCCGCAAUAGGCGGCAGAGACAGCUGCUAUGUGGUUGUACUGACCUUAUUAGAAAAGAACCGUCAUGGUACUUGUGACGGUGGCAUAUGAACGGGGAUGGAUUCAGAUUGCAGGGAAUUUGUUGGCAGUUUGCAAACUCAUAAAUCUUCCCUCUAAGCCUCUCUCUCCAGGUCAAGCUGGUACUAAAGGUAGUUCAAGUCAUCGAUUGUCAAGGACGAGUAGUUGCCUUGAAUGCUGGCAGCAAGUUAUGUGCUUCAGCAUUUUUCUUACCUGUAGAGCGACUAAAUAUAAUAGAUAUGUUAUCCAUAUAUCCCGCUUAGCAUCGUCAAACUAUCUUCUGUCUUCUGUAAUGUAUUGAAGACGCAACAUGUCAAGUUUACUAAAAAUCAUUUUUGUUGACCUUACAUGUGGCUGUGCUUUGAAUUUCUUGCGGAAGGGAGGAGAUCUUUUCAAGAUAAAUGGGAGGCUCCUACAAUCCUCCACGUCUAGCUGAGCCAGUGCCUGAACCGGCUAAAGCGGAGGGGUGCGCUUCUGAACCAGCAACAGAAAACAGUCAGGUUAAAACAACAUAACUGAUUACCUGUUCACACCUGGAGGAUUUUCAUGCCUUUAUAUGGCUCAAGCUUUAAAAAAAUUUCCCAUGAGGCGCCUUCUUUUCAUCCAUAAGUGGUUUGCCGGCCUGCGUUUCUUCCGCGCAACAACACAUGCUUGACAUAAUUUUUUGUUUCUAUUUUUUCCUUUUUUUUUUCUUUUUUUUGUUGGGCUUAAAUUCUAUUUGGUGCUUGACAUAUUUAGUUUUAUACAUUGUUUAUAUAUAAUUUUGAGAUGGUAUUAAACUUGUAAUGGAUAUGGAAACAACGAUGAAUCUUGUUCAUAUUGGUUUGGGCA